AAGAAAUACUAAAAAUAGAAAUAUUAAUUGAAUCUUAAUCAAUCCUUAGAUAAAAGUCUAAUUUAAAUCUUAAUUGAACCUUAAUUAAAUCUUACGUCAAAUCCUAAUGAAAUCCUAAUAAAAUCCUAAUAAAAUCUUAAAUCCUAAAAAAAACCCUAGAUAAACUUUAAUUAAUCUCUAGAUAAGUUUUAAAUCAAACCUUAAGUAAAUUCUAAUCCUAACCAAAUCCUAGAC
RNAcentral lists this long non-coding RNA (234 nucleotides) under Physcomitrium patens. Its description in RNAcentral is "long non-coding RNA (PPAT_LNC001314)". Lineage: Eukaryota; Viridiplantae; Streptophyta; Bryopsida; Funariales; Funariaceae. The record is from RNAcentral.